UGAGCAACACGUAUCCAACCUGCCGUCUACUCUUGGACAGCCUUCUGAAAGGAAGAUUAAUACAAGAUGGCAUCAUGAGUCCGCAUGUUCACAUGAUUAAAGGUAUUCCGGUAGACGAUGGGGAUGCGUUCCAUUAGAUAGUAGGCGGGGUAACGGCCCACCUAGUCUUCGAUGGAUAGGGGUUCUGAGAGGAAGGUCCCCCACAUUGGAACUGAGACACGGUCCAA
RNAcentral lists this ribosomal RNA (227 nucleotides) under uncultured bacterium. Its description in RNAcentral is "partial 16S ribosomal RNA". It matches the Rfam family "Bacterial small subunit ribosomal RNA", at positions 107 to 334 of the family's 1533-position model. The record is from RNAcentral.